AUUGACGGAGCGAAGCGACGUCAAAGCGUUCAUUAAAGUCGAGUUGGCUUAGGGAUACGUUCGUUGGGUAGGGGAGCGUUCUGUAAGCCUGUGAAGGUGGCCUGUGAGGGUUGCUGGAGGUAUCAGAAGUGCGAAUGCUGACAUAAGUAACGAUAAAGCGGGUGAAAAGCCCGCUCGCCGGAAGACCAAGGGUUCCUGUCCAACGUUAAUCGGGGCAGGGUGAGUCGACCCCUAAGGCGAGGCCGAAAGGCGUAGUCGAUGGGAAACGGGUUAAUAUUCCCGUACUUGGUGUUACUGCGAAGGGGGGACGGAGAAGGCUAUGUUGGCCGGGCGACGGUUGUCCCGGUUUAAGCGUGUAGGUGUGUGUUCCAGGUAAAUCCGGUUCACUUUAACACUGAGGCGUGAUGACGAGGCACUACGGUGCUGAAGCAACAAAUGCCCUGCUUCCAGGAAAAGCCUCUAAGCAUCAGGUAACAUCAAAUCGUACCCCAAACCGACACAGGUGGUCAGGUAGAGAAUACCAAGGCGCUUGAGAGAACUCGGGUGAAGGAACUAGGCAAAAUGGUGCCGUAACUUCGGGAGAAGGCACGCUGACACGUAGGUGAAGUGAUUUACUCAUGGAGCUGAAGUCAGUCGAAGAUACCAGCUGGCUGCAACUGUUUAUUAAAAACACAGCACUGUGCAAACACGAAAGUGGACGUAUACGGUGUGACGCCUGCCCGGUGCCGGAAGGUUAAUUGAUGGGGUCAGCGCAAGCGAAGCUCCUGAUCGAAGCCCCGGUAAACGGCGGCCGUAACUAUAACGGUCCUAAGGUAGCGAAAUUCCUUGUCGGGUAAGUUCCGACCUGCACGAAUGGCGUAAUGAUGGCCAGGCUGUCUCCACCCGAGACUCAGUGAAAUUGAACUCGCUGUGAAGAUGCAGUGUACCCGCGGCAAGACGGAAAGACCCCGUGAACCUUUACUAUAGCUUGACACUGAACAUUGAGCCUUGAUGUGUAGGAUAGGUGGGAGGCUUUGAAGUGUGGACGCCAGUCUGCAUGGAGCCGACCUUGAAAUACCACCCUUUAAUGUUUGAUGUUCUAACGUGGACCCGUGAUCCGGGUUGCGGACAGUGUCUGGUGGGUAGUUUGACUGGGGCGGUCUCCUCCUAAAGAGUAACGGAGGAGCACGAAGGUUGGCUAAUCCUGGUCGGACAUCAGGAGGUUAGUGCAAUGGCAUAAGCCAGCUUGACUGCGAGCGUGACGGCGCGAGCAGGUGCGAAAGCAGGUCAUAGUGAUCCGGUGGUUCUGAAUGGAAGGGCCAUCGCUCAACGGAUAAAAGGUACUCCGGGGAUAACAGGCUGAUACCGCCCAAGAGUUCAUAUCGACGGCGGUGUUUGGCACCUCGAUGUCGGCUCAUCACAUCCUGGGGCUGAAGUAGGUCCCAAGGGUAUGGCUGUUCGCCAUUUAAAGUGGUACGCGAGCUGGGUUUAGAACGUCGUGAGACAGUUCGGUCCCUAUCUGCCGUGGGCGCUGGAGAACUGAGGGGGGCUGCUCCUAGUACGAGAGGACCGGAGUGGACGCAUCACUGGUGUUCGGGUUGUCAUGCCAAUGGCACUGCCCGGUAGCUAAAUGCGGAAGAGAUAAGUGCUGAAAGCAUCUAAGCACGAAACUUGCCCCGA
RNAcentral lists this ribosomal RNA (1659 nucleotides) under Salmonella enterica subsp. enterica serovar Ohio. RNAcentral's name for it is "partial 23S ribosomal RNA". It matches the Rfam family "Bacterial large subunit ribosomal RNA", at positions 1185 to 2802 of the family's 2925-position model. The record is from RNAcentral. Lineage: Bacteria; Pseudomonadati; Pseudomonadota; Gammaproteobacteria; Enterobacterales; Enterobacteriaceae.